RNAcentral lists this ribosomal RNA (253 nucleotides) under uncultured bacterium. RNAcentral describes it as "partial 16S ribosomal RNA". It matches the Rfam family "Bacterial small subunit ribosomal RNA", at positions 524 to 776 of the family's 1533-position model. The record is from RNAcentral.
UACGUAGGCAGCAAGCGUUGUUCGGAGUUACUGGGCGUAAAGGGUGCGUAGGCGGCCUUAUAAGUAUGGUGUGAAAUCUCCCGGCUUAACUGGGAGGGUGCGCUAUAGACUGCGGGGCUAGAGUGUGGGAGAGGAAAGUGGAAUUCCUGGUGUAGCGGUGAAAUGCGUAGAUAUCAGGAGGAACACCGGUGGUGUAAACGGCUUUCUGGACCAUAACUGACGCUGAGGCACGAAAGCGUGGGUAGCAAACAGG